Molecule: ribosomal RNA, 253 nt
Filed under: uncultured bacterium
Lineage: Bacteria
Description: partial 16S ribosomal RNA
Rfam family: Bacterial small subunit ribosomal RNA
Source: RNAcentral
UACGAAGGGAGCAAGCGUUGUCCGGAUUUAUUGGGCGUAAAGAGCGUGUAGGCGGCCAGACAGGUCCGUUGUGAAAACUGGAGGCUUAACCUCCAGACGUCGAUGGAAACCGUCUGGCUAGAGUCCGGAAGAGGAGAGUGGAAUUCCUGGUGUAGCGGUGAAAUGCGCAGAUAUCAGGAAGAACACCCGUGGCUAAGGCGGCUCUCCAGUACGGUACUGACGCUGAGACGCGAAAGCGUGGGGAGCGAACAGG